Acomys russatus (golden spiny mouse) is the source of this 133-nucleotide small nucleolar RNA. RefSeq annotates it as small nucleolar RNA SNORA24. The transcript has a single exon. Lineage: Eukaryota; Metazoa; Chordata; Mammalia; Rodentia; Muridae. The record is from RefSeq and is a predicted model, not a curated record.
CUCCGUGUACUUUCAGGGCUUGUUGGCUACCGGCAGCCUCCCAUCACAAGCCACAGGACAGCAUAUUCUUAUUUAUUGGCAAAGCUGUCUCCAUUCACUUGCUGUCUGUUUCUCAUUUGCCCAAAUAACAUUC